UACGUAGGGGGCGAGCGUUGUCCGGAAUCAUUGGGCGUAAAGAGCGUGUAGGCGGACUGGAAGGUCUGGUGUGAAAGCCCGGGGGCUCAACCCCCGGAGGGUCACUGGAAACCAACAGUCUUGAAUCUGGAAGAGGAGAGUGGAAUUCCUGGUGUAGCGGUGGAAUGCGCAGAUAUCAGGAGGAACACCAAUGGCGAAGGCAGCUCUCUGGUACAUGAUUGACGCUGAGACGCGAAAGCGUGGGGAGCGAACAGG
This 255-nucleotide ribosomal RNA is filed under the name uncultured bacterium. Its description in RNAcentral is "partial 16S ribosomal RNA". It matches the Rfam family "Bacterial small subunit ribosomal RNA", at positions 524 to 776 of the family's 1533-position model. The record is from RNAcentral.